Molecule: long non-coding RNA, 339 nt
Filed under: Ursus americanus (American black bear)
Lineage: Eukaryota; Metazoa; Chordata; Mammalia; Carnivora; Ursidae
Description: lncRNA (ENSUAMG00000019604.1)
Source: RNAcentral
GGCCAUCACAAAGUUCUACAGGCUUCUCCCACCAUCAUCAGGCAUUAGCUCUGGGUCUGCAGAGCUUCCAGAACCUUGGAAUUCUGCCCCGCAGGCUGGUGUUGGAAACUUGCCCAUCUCCUGGCGGAUCUGACGCAGGCGGGCUAACUGCUUUACGUGGUGAAGACGGCCUUUGGGGUGACUGACCACUGGGUUGGAUGUUGCCCCAGGUGUGGUUCCUGUGGAAGCGCCGCCGCCAUUACCGCCGGAAUCAGCCAGAGAACAGAGGAAGGCAACGGGGGAACGUGUCAUUGUGAUCACAUCAGGCUCUGGAUCUGCUCAGGUCAGCGGCGCCUUCAG